Molecule: ribosomal RNA, 418 nt
Filed under: uncultured Actinomycetes bacterium
Lineage: Bacteria; Bacillati; Actinomycetota; Actinomycetes
Description: bacterial SSU rRNA
Rfam family: Bacterial small subunit ribosomal RNA
Source: RNAcentral
UAACGGCCUACCAAGGCGACGACGGGUAGCCGGCCUGAGAGGGCGACCGGCCACACUGGGACUGAGACACGGCCCAUACUCCUACGGGAGGCAGCAGUGGGGAAUAUUGCGCAAUGGGCGAAAGCCUGACGCAGCGACGCCGCGUGAGGGACGAAGGCCUUCGGGUUGUAAACCUCUUUCAGCAGGGACGAAGCGAAAGUGACGGUACCUGCAGAAGAAGCACCGGCCAACUACGUGCCAGCAGCCGCGGUAAUACGUAGGGUGCAAGCGUUGUCCGGAUUUAUUGGGCGUAAAGAGCUCGUAGGCGGUUUGUCGCGUCUGCUGUGAAAACUCGGGGCUCAACCCCGAGCCUGCAGUCGAUACGGGCAGACUAGAGUUCGGUAGGGGAGACUGGAAUUCCUGGUGUAGCGGUGAAAUG